This 23-nucleotide small nuclear RNA is filed under the name Arabidopsis thaliana (thale cress). Its description in RNAcentral is "snRNA_08064". The record is from RNAcentral. Lineage: Eukaryota; Viridiplantae; Streptophyta; Magnoliopsida; Brassicales; Brassicaceae.
ACAGAAUUACAGAGAUUACAUGA